GAAGCACGCCAGACCGCCGCUGGUGCAAUCUGGGAAACCAGGCACUGGAGGAACGUCCGGACUGCACAGGACAGCGUAGCAGCUAACGGCUGCCCACCGUGAGGUGAGGAUCAGAGCAACAGAGACGAGUCCCGGGGGAGUGCCGCAAGGUAGACCACCGGGGGUGAAACGGGCAAUCUCUACGCGCAGCAAUACCAAGUAGGCCAACGUUGAUGUGGUUCCGCAGAGUUGGCGGGUAGGUAGCACCGAGCCGUGGUGGCGACACCCGGCCCAGAUUAAUGGCGGUCACACUGCGGGCAACCGUGGUGCACAGAAUCCGGCUUAUCGGCGCGCUUCACAC
Molecule: RNase P RNA, 340 nt
Filed under: Acidovorax delafieldii
Lineage: Bacteria; Pseudomonadati; Pseudomonadota; Betaproteobacteria; Burkholderiales; Comamonadaceae
Also listed under: 2 other names
Description: RNase P RNA component class A
Rfam family: Bacterial RNase P class A
About the family: Ribonuclease P (RNase P) is a ubiquitous endoribonuclease, found in archaea, bacteria and eukarya as well as chloroplasts and mitochondria. Its best characterised activity is the generation of mature 5'-ends of tRNAs by cleaving the 5'-leader elements of precursor-tRNAs.
Source: RNAcentral